AACUUUUAACAAUGGAUCUCUAGGCUCUCAUAUCGAUGAAGAACACAGUGAAAUGUGAUAAGUAAUGUGAAUUGCAGAAUUCAGUGAAUCAUUGAAUCUUUGAACGCACCUUGCACCUUUUGGUAUUCCAAAAGGUACACCUGUUUGAGUGUCAUGAAAA
This 160-nucleotide ribosomal RNA is filed under the name Uromyces scaevolae. RNAcentral describes it as "5.8S ribosomal RNA". It matches the Rfam family "5.8S ribosomal RNA". From Rfam's summary of the family: 5.8S ribosomal RNA (5.8S rRNA) is a component of the large subunit of the eukaryotic ribosome. It is transcribed by RNA polymerase I as part of the 45S precursor that also contains 18S and 28S rRNA. The record is from RNAcentral. Lineage: Eukaryota; Fungi; Basidiomycota; Pucciniomycetes; Pucciniales; Pucciniaceae.